Molecule: long non-coding RNA, 443 nt
Filed under: Canis lupus familiaris (dog)
Lineage: Eukaryota; Metazoa; Chordata; Mammalia; Carnivora; Canidae
Description: lncRNA (ENSCAFG00040024026.1)
Source: RNAcentral
AAGUUAGAAGAGAGAGAGGAAAGAGGGAAGGAGAGUGAGUGAGCCAGUCAACCCCAACCACUGAGAGCUCAUCAUCUAAGGAAUCGAAGAGAUUAUUGUGAUAAAGCAAACUUUCUGGAAAAGAAACACAUAUCCUUGUAAGGAAGAAAUGGUCCAUGCAUUUGGGCUGGCAACUUGUGAAGGAAGCAACACCACUUCCAUAUGUCUCCUGCGAAGCCUCAGGAAACUCAUGCUGCUCACAUCAGAACUCUGGAUGGUAUAUGAUUUGCUGCUCAGUGGGAGGACAUUUAAAAUUCCUGAAGGAAAUACUUGGCAUCAAUAAUCUCAAGUGUGUGCUACACGGUGGGAUGGAGAGCAAAGAGCUGUUUUGCUCGGGGCGCUUGCUCUGCAUGGUAUGCUUUGUGAGGAUACACCAUGUCUUCAUGAGCUCCCAGGGUUGCUGA